CGAGCGCAACCCUCGCCGUAUGUUACAAGUGUCAUACGGGACUGCCGGUAAAAAGCGGAGGAAGGUGAGGAUGAUGUCAAGUCAGCAUGACCUUUAUAUCCAGGGCUACACACACGCUACAAUGGUCUGUACAAUUGGUUGCCAAGCCGCGAGGCGGAGCCAAUCCGUAAAGCAGGCCUCAGUUCAGAUUGCAGUCUGCAACUCGACUGCAUGAAGCCGGAGUUGCUAGUAACCGCAGGUCAGCAAUACUGCGGUGAAUACGUUCCCGGGUCUU
This 274-nucleotide ribosomal RNA is filed under the name uncultured Anaerolineaceae bacterium. RNAcentral's name for it is "partial 16S ribosomal RNA". It matches the Rfam family "Bacterial small subunit ribosomal RNA", at positions 1093 to 1382 of the family's 1533-position model. Lineage: Bacteria; Bacillati; Chloroflexota; Anaerolineae; Anaerolineales; Anaerolineaceae. The record is from RNAcentral.